Molecule: transfer RNA, 73 nt
Filed under: Stegodyphus mimosarum
Lineage: Eukaryota; Metazoa; Arthropoda; Arachnida; Araneae; Eresidae
Rfam family: tRNA
About the family: Transfer RNA (tRNA) molecules are approximately 80 nucleotides in length.
Source: Rfam by way of RNAcentral
GCCUUCGUGGUGUAGUGGUCUGCAUGAUCGACGCGUAACCGAGUGGUCCGGGGUUCGAUUCCCGGCGAAGGCG